RNAcentral lists this ribosomal RNA (497 nucleotides) under uncultured bacterium. Its description in RNAcentral is "partial 16S ribosomal RNA". It matches the Rfam family "Bacterial small subunit ribosomal RNA", at positions 28 to 507 of the family's 1533-position model. The record is from RNAcentral.
GAUGAACGCUGGCGGCGUGCCUAAUACAUGCCAGUCGAGCGAACGGACGAGAAGCUUGCUUCUCUGAUGUUAGCGGCGGACGGGUGAGUAACACGUGGAUAACCUACCUAUAAGACUGGGAUAACUUCGGGAAACCGUAGCUAAUACCGGAUAAUAUUUUGAACCGCAUGGUUCAAAAGUGAAAGACGGUCUUGCUGUCACUUAUAGAUGGAUCCGCGCUGCAUUAGCUAGUUGGUAAGGUAACGGCUUACCAAGGCAACGAUGCAUAGCCGACCUGAGAGGGUGAUCGGCCACACUGGAACUGAGACACGGUCCAGACUCCUACGGGAUGCAGCAGUAGGGAAUCUUCCGCAAUGGGCGAAAGCCUGACGGAGCAACGCCGCGUGAGUGAUGAAGGUCUUCGGAUCGUAAAACUCUGUUAUUAGGGAAGAACAUAUGUGUAAGUAACUGUGCACAUCUUGACGGUACCUAAUCAGAAAGCCACGGCUAACUACGUG